UGUGUAUCGAGCGUAACACGGCCCCUCUCCCCAGCUGCGUUACGUAAUAAAAGAACCCGCUUUAAAUGUUAAACCCGUUCCUAACUCCGACAAUGGUUGAAGGGGUCGACAUUCAGCUAUGUCGGCGUCGACCAGAAUUUUAUGAGAAACGUCAAAGCCAAACAAAAAUAAGACAGAAAAGUGUGAGACUGAAAGUUUUUGUGCAGUCGGAUGACCACCGGGAAAACUAAACCUGAGGACCGACUGGAAGGAGGAAGAACCGCAAAGCAGCUGAUGAUGAAAACCAUUAAGGAACCUGUCACGUAAUUCCUAAACGAAGAUGUUUCGAAAUACCUGGCCAAAAAGCGGUUCAGGAAGAGUGCAUUUAGGUGAGAAGAUAGUGUGCUCCAAGACUUCAAAUUACGGAACCGCCGGAAGUACGCCAAAAAAUAAACGCGACCGCCCAAUUCGAUUACAGCGGUGGUGCCAGAAGAAGUUCUAGUCCCAGCUUGGGGGAGAUCCUUCAAAAUUGAUCUCGAACGUUUUCUGAAGUUCGAAUUGAUUCUUUGUGAACAUUGUCCGCGCGUAAGUCACUUCCUGCAACUUCUUUCCACUGCGCUGAGACACUUUCGAAUCAAGAGCCAGCCAGCGAUGACGAUGCCAAAUUCGACUACAGAUCUGCACCAGUCGGUCAUUUUUAAUGUUCUUGAGCGUAGGCAACUUUCGGAGAGCAGAGCAAUAGCAGCUAGUAGAUUUCAAUCUGAAUGAUCAGUAUUUGUGUGUGUGUUUUAUUCCACCGAUGUCUGGCCAUCUAAGACAAAGUCGUCUUAAAAAGAAAAUCUUCAACUCUUCGAGAUCCUUUGCGAGACGCGUCACAUGAUUACAACCUUAGUAAAGCUUAACUUCA
Culex quinquefasciatus (southern house mosquito) is the source of this 886-nucleotide long non-coding RNA. RefSeq lists it as uncharacterized. The record is from RefSeq and is a predicted model, not a curated record. NCBI's taxonomy places the organism in Eukaryota, Metazoa, Arthropoda, Insecta, Diptera, Culicidae. The transcript is spliced from 4 exons.